Molecule: ribosomal RNA, 252 nt
Filed under: uncultured bacterium
Lineage: Bacteria
Description: partial 16S ribosomal RNA
Rfam family: Bacterial small subunit ribosomal RNA
Source: RNAcentral
UACGAAGGGGGCUAGCGUUGCUCGGAAUCACUGGGCGUAAAGGCGCGUAGGCGGCCAUUCAAGUCGGAGGUGAAAGCCCAGGGCUCAACCCUGGAAUUGCCUUCGAUACUGUCUGGCUAGAGACCGGAAGAGGUAAGUGGAACUGCGAGUGUAGAGGUGAAAUUCGUAGAUAUUCGCAAGAACACCAGUGGCGAAGGCGGCUUACUGGUCCGGUUCUGACGCUGAGGCGCGAAAGCGUGGGGAGCAAACAGG